ACUACGGGUGGCUGCAGUGAGGAAUAUUGGUCAAUGGGCGGAAGCCUGAACCAGCCAAGUAGCGUGCAGGAUGACGGCCCUACGGGUUGUAAACUGCUUUUAUACGGGAAUAACGCGCCUUACGUGUAGGGCUUUGCAUGUACCGUAUGGAUAAGGACCGGCUAAUUCCGUGCCAGCAGCCGCGGUAAUACGGAAGGUCCGGGCGUUAUCCGGAUUUAUUGGGUUUAAAGGGAGCGUAGGCCGCAUGUCAAGCGUGCUGUGAAAUGUCCGGGCUCAACCCGGGCCUUGCAGCGCGAACUGGCGUGCUUGAGUCCGCGGAAAGCAGGCGGAAUUCGUCGUGUAGCGGUGAAAUGCUUAGAUAUGACGAAGAACCCCGAUUGCGAAGGCAGCUUGCUGCAGCGGAACUGACGCUGAUGCUCGAAAGCGCGGGUAUCGAACAGGAUUAGAUACCCCUGUAGUC
RNAcentral lists this ribosomal RNA (460 nucleotides) under uncultured bacterium. RNAcentral describes it as "partial 16S ribosomal RNA". It matches the Rfam family "Bacterial small subunit ribosomal RNA", at positions 338 to 795 of the family's 1533-position model. The record is from RNAcentral.